RNAcentral lists this ribosomal RNA (537 nucleotides) under Phrynobatrachus cf. hylaios DGM-2017. RNAcentral describes it as "partial 16S ribosomal RNA". It matches the Rfam family "Bacterial large subunit ribosomal RNA", at positions 1816 to 2594 of the family's 2925-position model. The record is from RNAcentral. Lineage: Eukaryota; Metazoa; Chordata; Amphibia; Anura; Phrynobatrachidae.
CGCCUCCUGCCAACCUCAUAGGAGGUCCCGCCUGCCCGGUGACAACUUUAACGGCCACGGUAUCCUGACCGCGCGAAGGUAGCACAAUCACUUGUCCUUUAAAUAGGGACCUGUAUCAACGGCAUCACGAGGGCGCAACUGUCUCCUCUGUUUAAUCAGUGAACCUGCUCUCUUCGUGAAGAAGCGAAGAUAAGCUCAUAAGACGAGAAGACCCCAUGAAGCUUAAAACCAAAUAACACCUCCCCUCUACUACAAACCAUAAAAAGAUGAAGACUUGUUAACCUGUUUUUGGCUGGGGCAUCCAAGGAGUACAACCAAACCUCCAUGACGAAUAUCUCUGAGCAACAGCUCUAGGAAACAGAAGUCUGACGUAAUAUGACCCGAAAUAUCGAUAAACGAACCAAGUUACUCUGGGGAUAACAGCGCCAUCCACUUUAAGAGUUCAUAUUGACAAGUGGGUUUACGACCUCGAUGUUGGAUCAGGGUAUCCCAGUGGUGCAGCCGCUACUAAAGGUUCGUUUGUUCAACGAUUAAAAC